Podarcis muralis (Common wall lizard) is the source of this 1915-nucleotide non-coding RNA. NCBI's taxonomy places the organism in Eukaryota, Metazoa, Chordata, Lepidosauria, Squamata, Lacertidae. The record is from RefSeq and is a predicted model, not a curated record.
UAAAGUGGUACCUCAGGUUAAGAACAGUUUCAGGUUAAGAAUGGACAUCCAGAACGAAUUAAGUUCUUAACCCGAGGUACCACUGUAUUGUCCUUCAGUCCACUCAACAUCAUACAGAGGUGAGUGGGCAAUCUGUGUGGAAAGUGCUGUUUUAUGAGGCAUUGAAGACUUCAGGUCGGAUCCAAAUAUGUCCUUUCUUUUGUAAAAUGCUGCCUCUUCUCAUGGAAGAGCCUUUUCUGAUCUAGGAAAGAAAUGUGACAUCAGAAGUGGCCCAAAUCCAGAGAGACACUUGCACAAGACUGCAAGAGACUUUUGCCCAAAUCUUGUUCUUUCUUUGUCAUCACUAGAGCAGCGGUUCUUCACCUUUUAGGAGGUCAUGGGCCUCUUUGAUAAUUUGAUGGACCCCCACCCAAUAAAUUUGAUAUGAAUUUUUUUUCACCCCACAAACACAGUUUUCAAAGUAUCAGGAAGAAAAUAGAAGAACAUCCCUUCUUUUGCACCUGGUUCAUGGACUGUCUGUGGACCACAGGUUAAGAACCUAAGUGCUAGUGUGUAUAUGUUUUAGCCUGUCUCUUUCCUAAUUGGUGCUUCUCUUACUGUAACACAUCCUGGUGCAUAGUGUACUGCACUGAGAGAAUACUCUGUUGGAUUGUGGAAGAGCUUACUGAACAGCACCAAUACACCCCCCCUUUCACUCACAGUUCUUUGGCCCACACCUCAAUAAGCUGGAUGGCUCAGUAAUGGGAGACAGCGAUAAACUUGGUUCAAAUAAUUUCCUCAGCAUGGCCAAUUCAUCUGUUACCGGGAAGUGAGAAAUAACCUUCUUUCUACCGCUCUUGAUAAAUUUAUGAAUAGAUGGUUGCUGAGAAUACUUGGCCAGGAAAACCUGGGUCAGAAUGACACCCAAGAUAAUCUAAUCAUUGUGAAUACAAUCACAGGCUUCUUCUAGGCCACAAUGAGCAUAAAAUGAGCCACCUUGCCUGUACUAUCUUUAAGAAAAUGUCAGAAAAUGGGAAAAUAACUCACCUUUUUAGAGGUAGGUACACCUGCAAACCUAUGAUGAUCAAAGACACCAUUUUGUCAGAUUUGUGGAUGAAAAGAAAGCUUCAUUCUCAGGAUAGUUGGCCCAAAAUCCUUUGCAAACAAUUACCUCACAUUUAGAAAUUCAGCUUUCUUUAAAAACAAAUGCACAAAGUGUUUAGAGGAAUUUAAGUUCUGAAAAGGUUUUUUUAAAUGAAAUAUACCGAUACACCAUUUUUUUUUACAUUUAAUUAGUCUUUAAAGGGCUAUCUGUGUAUAAUUCAUUGAUUCAAGUAUCUGACAAUGAUUCCACUUUUCUUUUUUCUUUACAUUUGCAUUUAUCAUAUUUUAUAAAUCUAACGAUAAAUGUGUUUUAUGGACAUAAGUUGUCACAUUGACAGUGAAUUUAAUAGAGGCCUGUUUCACUUGCAAUUAAACUCUGUCAUCCCCACUCUGUAGGCCUCAUCUAGACCUCUCGUUCUGCCUAAAAAACUGCCCAUCUGAGUAAAAGCAGCAGACUUUGGAUGGAUUCUGAGGAGACGUGGAGAUACAAGUCAAGACGUCCUUCUGAAAAGAUAAUCUGCUUAGGGAAAAGAGGCAAUUAGGAAAACUCUUCAUAAGACGCUAAAUAAUGUUUUCUCCGAGCCAUUGAUAAAAUCUACAGUAGAAGAACAGGUGAAAGGCGAUUUCGAUUUCUGCAGCUAUCCUGGAAAGGGAACCUUGGGAAAUCUACGAUCUUCUUACAAGGUUGGCUUGCUCUGAUACAAUGUUCAGUUCCCCUGAAGCCUGAUACACUGUAGGUUCUUGGAAGAAAAGUGCCUGCAUUUAAUUCCAGCACCAUUUCAACAAAGAAGAAAUACUCAACUAAGAAUGACAUGGGGGAUGAGGGAGAAAA